RNAcentral lists this ribosomal RNA (269 nucleotides) under uncultured prokaryote. Its description in RNAcentral is "partial 16S ribosomal RNA". It matches the Rfam family "Bacterial small subunit ribosomal RNA", at positions 524 to 792 of the family's 1533-position model. The record is from RNAcentral.
UACGUAGGGGGCAAGCGUUGUCCGGAAUUAUUGGGCGUAAAGCGCGCGCAGGCGGUCCUUUAAGUCUGAUGUGAAAGCCCACGGCUUAACCGUGGAGGGUCAUUGGAAACUGAGGGACUUGAGUACAGAAGAGGAGAGUGGAAUUCCACGUGUAGCGGUGAAAUGCGUAGAGAUGUGGAGGAACACCAGUGGCGAAGGCGACUCUCUGGUCUGUAACUGACGCUGAGGUGCGAAAGCGUGGGUAGCAAACAGGAUUAGAUACCCCUGUA